RNAcentral lists this ribosomal RNA (574 nucleotides) under uncultured fungus. Its description in RNAcentral is "eukaryotic LSU rRNA". The stretch from base 220 to 373 matches the Rfam family "5.8S ribosomal RNA". The record is from RNAcentral. Lineage: Eukaryota; Fungi.
AAGUCGUAACAAGGUUUCCGUAGGUGAACCUGCGGAAGGAUCAUUACUGAGUGAGGGCCCUCUGGGUCCAACCUCCCACCCGUGUUUAUUGUACCUUGUUACUUCGGUGCGCCCGCCUCACGGCCGCCGGGGGGCUUCUGCCCCCGGGUCCGCGCGCACCGGAGACACUAUUGAACUCUGUCUGAAGAUUGCAGUCUGAGCAUAAACUAAAUAAGUUAAAACUUUCAACAACGGAUCUCUUGGUUCCGGCAUCGAUGAAGAACGCAGCGAAAUGCGAUAACUAAUGUGAAUUGCAGAAUUCAGUGAAUCAUCGAGUCUUUGAACGCACAUUGCGCCCCCUGGUAUUCCGGGGGGCAUGCCUGUCCGAGCGUCGUUGCUGCCCUCAAGCACGGCUUGUGUGUUGGGCUCCGUCCCCCCGGGGACGGGUCCGAAAGGCAGCGGCGGCACCGAGUCCGGUCCUCGAGCGUAUGGGGCUUUGUCACCCGCUCUGUAGGCCCGGCCGGCGCCAGCCGACAACCAACCAUCCUUUUUUCAGGUUGACCUCGGAUCAGGUAGGGAUACCCGCUGAACUUAA